RNAcentral lists this unclassified non-coding RNA (474 nucleotides) under Hevea brasiliensis (rubber tree). The record is from RNAcentral. Lineage: Eukaryota; Viridiplantae; Streptophyta; Magnoliopsida; Malpighiales; Euphorbiaceae.
GAACAAUGUUCAAAGCUUAAAAAUGACAAUUAUUGUUGGAUACCAUAUUUAAUAAUGUUAGAUAUGAUGAAUAAUUUUUUUUGUAAAAUAUAUUGAUGGUAGGGUUAUAAUGCAAUAUACUUAAUGAAAUAUAUUUUUAUUUUUACUUAUUUCGCUAUGAAAGAAACAUUUAUUGAUGACUUGGGUGAAUAUUAUCAUUAUAUGACAAGUUUUGGCUCCAUAAUUAUUUAUGAAUUUCUAGUCAUAAAGUAAAAAAUACAAUUUAUAUAUGAAGUUAUGGUAAAAUGAUAAUUUUAACUAUUUUCUUUGCAGUCCUCUUCCCAUAUAAAAGGAAAAUAAGCGCUUCUUUUUACUUUCUACACGGAAUAGCCUCCUUGCAAAACAGGUAUAAGGUUGUACAUAUCAACCCUAUCCAAAACUCACAAGUGUGAAUGCUGUGCACAGUGGAUCACCCUUUUUUUUUCUUUUUUUUUU